GAUGAACGCUGGCGGCGUGCCUAAUACAUGCAAGUCGAACGAACAGACGAGGAGCUUGCUCCUCUGACGUUAGCGGCGGACGGGUGAGUAACACGUGGAUAACCUACCUAUAAGACUGGGAUAACUUCGGGAAACCGGAGCUAAUACCGGAUAAUAUAUUGAACCGCAUGGUUCAAUAGUGAAAGACGGUUUUGCUGUCACUUAUAGAUGGAUCCGCGCCGCAUUAGCUAGUUGGUAAGGUAACGGCUUACCAAGGCGACGAUGCGUAGCCGACCUGAGAGGGUGAUCGGCCACACUGGAACUGAGACACGGUCCAGACUCCUACGGGAGGCAGCAGUAGGGAAUCUUCCGCAAUGGGCGAAAGCCUGACGGAGCAACGCCGCGUGAGUGAUGAAGGUCUUCGGAUCGUAAAGCUCUGUUAUUAGGGAAGAACAAAUGUGUAAGUAACUAUGCACGUCUUGACGGUACCUAAUCAGAAAGCCACGGCUAACUACGUG
This 497-nucleotide ribosomal RNA is filed under the name uncultured bacterium. RNAcentral's name for it is "partial 16S ribosomal RNA". It matches the Rfam family "Bacterial small subunit ribosomal RNA", at positions 28 to 507 of the family's 1533-position model. The record is from RNAcentral.